GACGAACGCUGGCGGCGUGCUUAACACAUGCAAGUCGAACGGAAAGGCCCUGCUUUUGUGGGGUGCUCGAGUGGCGAACGGGUGAGUAACACGUGAGUAACCUGCCCUUGACUUUGGGAUAACUUCAGGAAACUGGGGCUAAUACCGGAUAGGAGCUCCUGCUGCAUGGUGGGGGUUGGAAAGUUUCGGCGGUUGGGGGUGGACUCGCGGCUUAUCAGCUUGUUGGUGGGGUAGUGGCUUACCAAGGCUUUGACGGGUAGCCGGCCUGAGAGGGUGACCGGCCACAUUGGGACUGAGAUACGGCCCAGACUCCUACGGGAGGCAGCAGUGGGGAAUAUUGCACAAUGGGCGGAAGCCUGAUGCAGCAACGCCGCGUGCGGGAUGACGGCCUUUGGGUUGUAAACCGCUUUCGCCUGUGACGAAGCGUGAGUGACGGUAAUGGGUAAAGAAGCACCGGCUAACUACGUG
Molecule: ribosomal RNA, 468 nt
Filed under: uncultured bacterium
Lineage: Bacteria
Description: partial 16S ribosomal RNA
Rfam family: Bacterial small subunit ribosomal RNA
Source: RNAcentral